UGGGGAAUAUUGCACAAUGGGGGAAACCCUGAUGCAGCGACGCCGCGUGAACGAAGAAGGUAUUCGUAUCGUAAAGUUCUGUCCUAUGGGAAGAUAAUGACAGUACCAUAGAAGAAAGCUCCGGCUAAAUACGUGCCAGCAUCCGCGGUAAUACGUAUGGAGCGAGCGUUGUCCGGAAUUAUUGGGCGUAAAGGGUACGCAGGCGGUUUAAUAAGUCGAAUGUUAAAGAUCGGGGCUCAACCCCGCAAAGCAUUGGAAACUGAUAAACUUGAGUAGUGGAGAGGAAAGUGGAAUUCCUAGUGUAGUGGUGAAAUACGUAGAUAUUAGGAGGAAUACCAGUAGCGAAGGCGACUUUCUGGACACAAACUGACGCAGAGAUACGAAAGAGUGAGGAGCAAACAGG
RNAcentral lists this ribosomal RNA (403 nucleotides) under bacterium. RNAcentral's name for it is "partial 16S ribosomal RNA". It matches the Rfam family "Bacterial small subunit ribosomal RNA", at positions 355 to 776 of the family's 1533-position model. The record is from RNAcentral.